This 497-nucleotide ribosomal RNA is filed under the name uncultured bacterium. RNAcentral describes it as "partial 16S ribosomal RNA". It matches the Rfam family "Bacterial small subunit ribosomal RNA", at positions 28 to 507 of the family's 1533-position model. The record is from RNAcentral.
GAUGAACGCUGGCGGCGUGCCUAAUACAUGCAAGUCGAGCGAACGGACGAGAAGCUUGCUUCUCUGAUGUUAGCGGCGGACGGGUGAGUAACACGUGGAUAACCUACCUAUAAGACUGGGAUAACUUCGUGAAACCGGAGCUAAUACCGGAUAAUAUUUUGAACCGCAUGGUUCAAAAGUGAAAGACGGUCUUGCUGUCACUUAUAGAUGGAUCCGCACUGCAUUAGCUAGUUGGUAAGGUAACGGCUUACCAAGGCAACGAUGCAUAGCCGACCUGAGAGGGUGAUCGGCCACACUGGAACUGAGACACGGUCCAGACUCCUACGGGAGGCAGCAGUAGGGAAUCUUCCGCAAUGGGCGAAAGCCUGACGGAGCAACGCCGCGUGAGUGAUGAAGGUCUUCGGAUCGUAAAACUCUGUUAUUAGGGAAGAACAUAUGUGUAAGUAACUGUGCACAUCUUGACGGUACCUAAUCAGAAAGCCACGGCUAACUACGUG